GACGAACGCUGGCGGCGUGCUUAACACAUGCAAGUCGAACGGAAAGGCCCUGCUUUUGUGGGGUGCUCGAGUGGCGAACGGGUGAGUAACACGUGAGUAACCUGCCCUUGACUUUGGGAUAACUUCAGGAAACUGGGGCUAAUACCGGAUAGGAGCUCCUGCUGCAUGGUGGGGGUUGGAAAGUUUCGGCGGUUGGGGAUGGACUCGCGGCUUCUCCGCUUGUUGGUGGGGUAGUGGCUUACCCAGGCUUUGACGGGUAGCCGGCCUGAGGGGGUGACCGGCCACAUUGGGACUGAGAUACGGCCCAGACUCCUACGGGAGGCAGCAGUGGGGAAUAUUGCACAAUGGGCGGAAGCCUGAUGCAGCAACGCCGCGUGCGGGAUGACGGCCUUCGGGUUGUAAACCGCUUUCGCCUGUGACGAAGCGUGAGUGACGGUAAUGGGUAAAGAAGCACCGGCUAACUACGUG
RNAcentral lists this ribosomal RNA (468 nucleotides) under uncultured bacterium. RNAcentral's name for it is "partial 16S ribosomal RNA". It matches the Rfam family "Bacterial small subunit ribosomal RNA", at positions 28 to 507 of the family's 1533-position model. The record is from RNAcentral.